RNAcentral lists this ribosomal RNA (253 nucleotides) under uncultured bacterium. Its description in RNAcentral is "partial 16S ribosomal RNA". It matches the Rfam family "Bacterial small subunit ribosomal RNA", at positions 524 to 776 of the family's 1533-position model. The record is from RNAcentral.
GACAGAGGGUGCUAGCGUUGUUCGGAAUUACUGGGCGUAAAGGGCGUGUAGGCGGCUAUGUAAGUCGGACGUAAAAUACCUGGGCUUAACCUAGGGCGUGCGUUUGAUACUGCAUAGCUAGAGGAUGGGAGAGGAGAGUGGAAUUCCUAGUGUAGAGGUGAAAUUCGUAGAUAUUAGGAAGAACACCAGUGGCGAAGUCGACUCUCUGGACCAUAUCUGACGCUAAGGCGCGAAAGCGUGGGGAGCAAACAGG